UAAUUUUUUUUUUUUUUUUU
Molecule: small nuclear RNA, 20 nt
Filed under: Arabidopsis thaliana (thale cress)
Lineage: Eukaryota; Viridiplantae; Streptophyta; Magnoliopsida; Brassicales; Brassicaceae
Description: snRNA_02160
Source: RNAcentral